Molecule: ribosomal RNA, 500 nt
Filed under: uncultured Alteromonas sp.
Lineage: Bacteria; Pseudomonadati; Pseudomonadota; Gammaproteobacteria; Alteromonadales; Alteromonadaceae
Description: bacterial SSU rRNA
Rfam family: Bacterial small subunit ribosomal RNA
Source: RNAcentral
AAACGUGGCUUCGGCUCCGGCGCACAAAGAGGCCCAUAGGAAAAUUGUUAAUUUGUAGGAUGAACGCCUUACUUAGGCCACGAUCUCUAACUUCUCUUAGAGCAAGAUUAGCCACGCUGGGGAUGAGACGCGGCCCAAACUCCUACGGUAGGCAGCUUCGGGGAAUUUUGCACUAUGGGUGAAACCCUUAUGCAGCCCUUCCGCCUGUGUAAAGAAGGCCUUCGUGUUGUAAAGCACUUUCAGUUGUGAGGAAAAGUUAGUAGUUAAUACCUGCUAGCCGUGAUGUUGACAUCAGAAGAAGCACCGGUUAACUCCGUGCCAGCUGCCGAGGUAAUACGAAGUGUGCUAGCGUUAAUCGGAAUUACUGUGCGUAAAUCCCACGCAGACGGUUUGUUAAUCUAGAUGUGAAAGCCCCGGUCUCAACCUGGGAUGGACUUUUAAAGCUGGCAGAUUAGAGUCUUGUAGAGGCUAUUUUAAUUCCAGGUGUAGCGGUGAAAUGC